This 487-nucleotide ribosomal RNA is filed under the name uncultured Bacteroidota bacterium. RNAcentral describes it as "bacterial SSU rRNA". It matches the Rfam family "Bacterial small subunit ribosomal RNA", at positions 355 to 838 of the family's 1533-position model. Lineage: Bacteria; Pseudomonadati; Bacteroidota. The record is from RNAcentral.
UAAGGAAUAUUGGUCAAUGGACGCAAGCCUGAACCAGCCAUGCCGCGUGGAGGAUGAAGGUCCUCUGGAUUGUAAACUUCUUUUAUCUGGGAAGAAAUCCAUUUUUUCUAAGAUGGUUGACGGUACCAGACGAAUAAGCACCGGCUAACUCCGUGCCAGCAGCCGCGGUAAUACGGAGGGUGCAAGCGUUAUCCGGAUUCACUGGGUUUAAAGGGUGCGUAGGUGGGCAGUUAAGUCAGUGGUGAAAUCUCCGGGCUUAACCCGGAAACUGCCAUUGAUACUAUCUGUCUUGAAUGCCGUGGAGGUAAGCGGAAUAUGUCAUGUAGCGGUGAAAUGCUUAGAUAUGACAUAGAACACCAAUUGCGAAGGCAGCUUACUACACGAAUAUUGACACUGAGGCACGAAAGCGUGGGGAUCGAAACAGGAUUAGAUACCCUGGUAGUCCACGCCCUAAACGAUGGAUACUCGACAUACGCGAUACACAGUG